Molecule: long non-coding RNA, 766 nt
Organism: Medicago truncatula (barrel medic)
Lineage: Eukaryota; Viridiplantae; Streptophyta; Magnoliopsida; Fabales; Fabaceae
Exons: 2
Source: RefSeq, a predicted model, not a curated record
UCCUUAGACGCUUUGAAAAGAGAAAAAAAGUGUGCACUUAAAACACAAGAUAACACAAUUCUUAAAAACAACAAUAUAAAAGUCUAUCAAAAUUCAUCAUAGUAAAAAAUGUUGAAGCACUCUGUGGUUGUGCUAUACCCAGAAAAAAAGUUUCCAGUUAUCACUUCACCACCAAGCAUCAAAUACACGCGCAACCCAAUGGUGGACCGACCGAUUACCAGCCACCGACAAUUGAUGAUCUCAAUCCCAGUCCUCCUAUGGUUCCUCCACCAUCAAGUGAUCCUAUCAUACGCAGCCCAGAAAUACCACAUAUUCAGCCUCGAUGGCCAAUUCGACCACCUCCUAAUUAUUAAGUAAAGACUUAAGAACGGACCAUUUUAUAAUAGAUGGUGGUCUGUUAGUGGCUCGGACUGAGAUCCUAAGAGGUCUUAACUUGCUUUCCUUUCGGUUUGAUUCGGCUUUUCAUUUGUGCAUCAUCUUGGCUGCGAAUUUGGGGGUGCCAUGGUUUGUAGUGCAUUUGUCAAGUUAUUGCUUUGUAUUUCUAUUAGUUUCUGUUCUGUAUUGUCAUUUGUUAUAUGCUGGGCUGCUUGUUGUGUUUCUGUUUUGUAUCCUGUUUUCAUGUCGGGUGGAAAUCUGUUCUUGUUCUUUUUUGGUUUAACAGACCAACGUUUUAAAAAACUGAACGAUACCGGAAAAAUGGCCAUUACAACUUUUAGCCUCUUUUUAAUAAAUACAUUGUGUUGUUAAAAUAAAAUAAAUCUUAAUU